AUUAACUUUGAUAAUGUUAAAGAAACGAAAACUUAAUAUAGAAACUGUAUAGUUUGUAAUUGUCAAAUUUGGAUCAUAAUGUUAAUCGUUGUAUUACGUUUUAAAAUCAAGGAAAUGACUAAACAAUACUAGUUUGAUCAUCGAAUGAAAACCUGAUAAAUAAAGAUUUAUACAUUUUGUGUAUAUGAUGUAACAAAGUAAAAAAAAAAUAAUAGUACCUUGGUAGCGAAUUGAAAGUUGAUUUAAUAAACGCGCAAGAUAUGUGAAUCUUAUUGUACAAGUGUAGUGUUUAUUAAAACCCACCAUCGUGAAGGUUACUUAUCAUAUCGAAUAAUCAGAUCUUUUUUAUAUUGCAAAAAUGUGGUUUUAUUUCUUGCUUGCUAUUUUUACGACAUUUAAUUUUGCGAUGGCCUCGUCCAGCUUUGAUUUUGGAGAUACCUUAGCAUUGAUCAUUGGAUUGAUUAUUGGAAUCAUUGGAUUUUUUGCCUGUAUGGGUGCUUAUGCACGGCAUCGAAAUCGUAUGGAAGCAAUAGCAUAAUUAUUAUAAGCACUUCACAACUCCAUUAAUCGCUAUUCAAUACAUAUAAAAUUAAUGAAGAAAAUGCCUGAAGUGACUGUUUUGAAUAUGUUUGAUAAUAUAAAAUUUAUAUAAAGAUUGCUUCAAAACUAACAGAAAUUAAAAGUUUUUUAUCAUGAAAUUUCUAUAAUUUAAUCAAUAUAAAUAUAAGUUAACAUCUUUGUUGCCACAAACUAUUUUUAUAUCUACUAUACUAUUAUUGUAAGAUAAUUAUUAAACAAAUGUAAAUAAAAAUGGUAAUGAUAUGUAGAUAUCAUGAUUAAAACAAUCAUUUGUUAAAGAUA
Bombus impatiens (common eastern bumble bee) is the source of this 861-nucleotide long non-coding RNA. RefSeq lists it as uncharacterized. Lineage: Eukaryota; Metazoa; Arthropoda; Insecta; Hymenoptera; Apidae. The record is from RefSeq and is a predicted model, not a curated record. The transcript has 2 exons.